Molecule: ribosomal RNA, 510 nt
Filed under: uncultured Alishewanella sp.
Lineage: Bacteria; Pseudomonadati; Pseudomonadota; Gammaproteobacteria; Alteromonadales; Alteromonadaceae
Description: bacterial SSU rRNA
Rfam family: Bacterial small subunit ribosomal RNA
Source: RNAcentral
UAGAGUUUGAUCAUGGCUCAGAUUGAACGCUGGCGGCAGGCCUAACACAUGCAAGUCGAGCGAGGUUUUCGGACCUAGCGGCGGACGGGUGAGUAAUGCGUAGGAAGCUGCCCGAUAGAGGGGGAUACCAGUUGGAAACGACUGUUAAUACCGCAUAAUGUCUACGGACCAAAGUGUGGGACCUUCGGGCCACAUGCUAUCGGAUGCGCCUACGUGGGAUUAGCUAGUUGGUGGGGUAAUGGCUCACCAAGGCGACGAUCCCUAGCUGGUUUGAGAGGAUGAUCAGCCACACUGGGACUGAGACACGGCCCAGACUCCUACGGGAGGCAGCAGUGGGGAAUAUUGGACAAUGGGCGCAAGCCUGAUCCAGCCAUGCCGCGUGUGUGAAGAAGGCCUUCGGGUUGUAAAGCACUUUCAGUGGGGAGGAAGGGGUUGUAGUUAAUAGCUGCAAUUUUUGACGUUACCCACAGAAGAAGCACCGGCUAACUCCGUGCCAGCAGCCGCGGUAAU